Non-coding RNA from Paramuricea clavata, 588 nucleotides. NCBI's taxonomy places the organism in Eukaryota, Metazoa, Cnidaria, Anthozoa, Malacalcyonacea, Plexauridae. The record is from the annotation of a GenBank genome assembly.
AGAGAGAGAGAAAAUGAAUAACGUCAAGAGAAACCUGUGGUUACAAGAUUCUAGGCCCAAAUCUGUUGAUCCUAACCGUUACCUUCUACGUGCGUAUGAUUCCGAGCCACAAGUUAAGAUUCAUUGCCCGUACAGAAGAGAGUUUGGCCUUCACCCUGAACUUCGGACAAAAUGACAUGAAAUUAUCAUAUUUAGGCAACAAUGAAGAAAAUCCAGUGAUCACCAAAGCGCCACACAUUCAGAGCAUGCAGGCUACUGCAUGCAGAUCUAGCCAGAGCGCGUAAUCAAACGUUAUUUAUUAUUGGGAUUGCACCAGGUGUUCAAUCGUUAUUGAUAUAUGAUAACCGAUAAACUAUGUGUUUCAGCCAUCUUUGUUUUGACUGGACAAAAAGAGAUAUCAGUGACAAAAAAUGAUAUCAGUGACGAUAUCGUUUUUAUAUGUCACCCUGUUAUCGUUUUUGCGUCUACUGAUUUUUAAUCAGUAGAAGCAUUGUCAGGACCAAAGGUCCGUGUAUGUCGGGGAAAGGCACAUUUGAUGACGUAUCGAUGUAAUGCAUUGCGAGCAUAGGAUUGCGAGCGAAAGUCGGU